Molecule: ribosomal RNA, 465 nt
Filed under: uncultured bacterium
Lineage: Bacteria
Description: partial 16S ribosomal RNA
Rfam family: Bacterial small subunit ribosomal RNA
Source: RNAcentral
CUACGGGACGCACCAGUGGGGAAUAUUGGACAAUGGGGGAAACCCUGAUCCAGCAAUGCCGCGUGUGUGAAGAAGGCCUGCGGGUUGUAAAGCACUUUCGGUUGGGAGGACUGCUUCUAGCACUAAUAUUGUUGGAAGUUGACGUUACCUUCAGAAGAAGCACCGGAUAACUCCGUGCCAGCAGCCGCGGUAAUACGGAGGGUGCAAGCGUUAAUCGGAAUUACUGGGCGUAAAGCGCGCGUAGGCGGCUAGAUCAGUCGGGUGUGAAAGCCCCGGGCUUAACCUGGGAACUGCAUCCGAUACUGUCUAGCUUGAGUACAGGAGAGGAGAGUGGAAUUCCACAUGUAGCGGUGAAAUGCGUAGAUAUGUGGAGGAACACCAAUGGCGAAGGCAGCUCUCUGGCCUGAUACUGACGCUGAGGUGCGAAAGCGUGGGGAUCAAACAGGAUUAGAUACCCUCGUAGUC